This 450-nucleotide ribosomal RNA is filed under the name uncultured bacterium. RNAcentral describes it as "bacterial SSU rRNA". It matches the Rfam family "Bacterial small subunit ribosomal RNA", at positions 355 to 796 of the family's 1533-position model. The record is from RNAcentral.
UGGGGAAUAUUGGACAAUGGGGGCAACCCUGAUCCAGCGACGCCGCGUGAGUGAUGAAGGCCUUCGGGUUGUAAAGCUCUGUUGAGAGGGAAGAAAACAGUUGGCGCGAAUAGCUCCAGCUCUUGACGGUACCUCUUUAGAAAGCACCGGCUAACUCUGUGCCAGCAGCCGCGGUAAGACAGAGGGUGCAAACGUUGCUCGGAAUUACUGGGCGUAAAGCGCGUGUAGGCGGACCCAUAAGUCAGGCGUGAAAUCCCUAGGCUCAACCCAGGAACUGCACCUGAAACUGUCGGUCUGGAGUGGUGGAGAGGAAAGCAGAAUUCCUGGUGUAGAGGUGAAAUUCGUAGAUAUCAGGAGGAACACCGGUGGCGAAGGCGGCUUUCUGGACACUAACUGACGCUGAGACGCGAAAGCGUGGGGAGCAAACAGGAUUAGAUACCCCCGUAGUCC